Long non-coding RNA from Homo sapiens (human), 7280 nucleotides. RefSeq lists it as uncharacterized. Lineage: Eukaryota; Metazoa; Chordata; Mammalia; Primates; Hominidae. The transcript has 2 exons. The record is from RefSeq and is a predicted model, not a curated record.
UGAGCCACCGCGGCCGGCCUGUCUGCACUCUUUAUUCUUUAACUUUCGUUACAGUGUUACAUACAGAGAAGUGCACAGAGCAGAAGGGGAUGGCUAGCAAGUUACCACAACGCCUGGCAGAGAAGCAGAACUCUGGACAUCAACGAGCCCUCCUGGCGCCCCGCCCUGCCCCCCCGGGGCUGCUCUGUUUUUCAUCUGGCUUUCCUACCAGUGCGGGAAACGGAAGGAGGACUUUUUCUGGAAAAUCAGUGUCUGCGCUUCCCACCGGGCGGGUUGGACCUGAAGACACGUCCGUCCCGCGGAGAAUACGCGACACCGUGACCGACACGCGGCAGUCCUGCCUUAGAAGCGCGGCCGGGCCGGCGCGGGACCCGCAGCCUGGGGACCUUCCUCGCGCCCCAGAGGGGUCUGGGUGGAACGGGAAAAUUAAAAAUUAAAAAAAAAAAAAAAAACGGAAAGGCAAGAAAGGAAGAAGUCCGCUGGAGAACUCCGUGCGAAGGCCCCACUCCUACACGUCCCCGGCCUCAAGGGGAGACGAGGAAGAGAGCGGCCCAACCUGGGCCUGGGAGUAUCGUGACCCAUGUGUUUAAAGAACUAAAACGUGGCGUUAAAAAUAAGUGGACGGGACACCAUCAGAACUGUUUUUUUUGUUUGUUUUGUUUUUAGAUGGAGUCUCACUCUGUCGCCAGGCUGGAGUGCAAUGGCGCGAUCUGGGCUCACUGCAACCUCCACCUCCUGGGUUCAAGUGAUUCUCCUGCCUCAGCCUCCUGCACCCUCCUGUGUAGCUGGGAUUACAGGCACGUGCCACCACGGCUGCCUAAUUUUUGUAUUUUUAGCAGAGAUGGGGUUUCACCAUGUUGGCCAGGCUGGUCUCGAACUGCUGACCUCAGUUGAUCCACCCGCCACAGCCUCCCAAAGUUGGAAUUAAAGGUGUGAGCCACCGCACCCUGCCACACUGUCAGAAUUGAGGAGGCAGAUAUGAGAAACAUCUUAGGAAUAAAAAAGAAUAAAUGAAUUUGAAAACAAUGAAUAGGCUAAGCAGCAAAUUAGAUGCAAAUACAUAUAAAAUUAGCGAACUGGAAGAUAUAUUUGAAGAAGUCACCCAGAGUGCAACACAGACAAAGGGUGAAAAAUAAGUUCUCUUUAGUGGUUAGCAUUGUGAUGGAGUAAAAAGGCCCCACGUGGCCUAACUGGGGCUCUAGGAGGAAAAAAAGUGGAUUAAAUGGGCCAAGGUAAUAGGGAAGAGAUGUGAAUGGAAAGGCACCAUUUCUCAGACUCUGAAGCUUCAGAGAAUCUAAGCAGAGUGUGUUUGAAGAAAACCACAUCUGGACACACCUGUUGUAACUGGAGAUUCUCAAAGACAAAGAUUAUAAAAGCAACUGGAGAGAAGAAUGAGUAACUGUUGAACGGCACUGAAACCAACACCUAAACAGCAAUAGGGGAAGCCGUGAGAAGCAGAGGUCUCAAAUACCUGGGAGGAAACAGCUUUCAACAAGAACUGUUCAUCCCAUGAUAUACCUUUCAAGAAUGAGAGUAAAACAAAAGCAUUUGUAGUUAAACAAAAACUAAGACUUCCACUUUGAGCCACGACAGAAUAACUGGUCCAGAUUUACUCUCUCACCUUAAACAACUAGAAAGAAGGACAAAAUAUAUGCAAAAAUGUCUUUUGAGACAUGGGACAGCGGUCAGAAUUGGGCAGCAGUUACUGAGAGAGGAGAAACUAAUGAGGAGAGACCUUCCAGCCCCUGGCUACUGUCUGGAGAGGAGCUCCAGGCCAGAGCCUGAGAGGGGGUACCCAGAUAAGGCGGGGUCUUGCUGCGGCAGAGACUGAGUUAUAAGUUGGGGGAAGCCAAGGCAACCAGAAUUUUCAGGGCUGAGUACAAGAGAAGAGGGAGCUACAGAGAGAGAAAGAGAUGGGGAAGGAGAGAAAGAGAUGGGGGAGGAGAGAAAGAGAUGGGGUGAGAGAAGGCGAGAGGGAGACCCACCCAGAGAACUGUGGCUGAGCACUGAUCUACGCAUGCCUAUGAAGAAAUUACCUGAGGGGAAAAGAACCACUAGAAAGGAGGAGGCAGAACAUCCGGAGGAGCUCGAACAGGGCUGGGAUUGUUCGUGUUCCCACAAGCCAGAGUGGAAAGACCUCCUAAUUCAAAGGGCAUCGUGGAGGCUGCAGCAGGGUAGUGUGUCAGCAAUGGGGCCAGAUUAGCCCCAGGCUGAAGGACCCACACUAACGAGGCUUCUAAGCAAUCCUCAAAAGGAUUCCAACACAACCCAAGAAUAUUCAAAGUAAUACCAAAAAUUCAGCACCCACCCAUGUACCUUUCACAAUGUCUAUACCAUUCAAUCAAAAACUAUCACACAUAGAAGCAGGAAAAUAUGAUUCAUACCCAGGGUCAAAAUCCAUCAAUAGAAACAGACCCAGAGAAGACAGAUACAAUGGGAUUUGUAUACAAGAACAGUGAGGCAGUGCUAACUAGAUUUCAUAUGCUCAAAAAGGUAGAAGAAGGCAUGGGCGUGAUGAAGAGGUUCUUUUUCAAUGAACAUAAAACAAUUGCCAACAUUCCUUAACAGCAUAUAAAAUAGUGGUACAUCUUAAAAGUGGUGCUACCUUAAAUUUUUGGUGAAAUGUGGUAACAGCAUCUAUUACAACCUGCCUGGUGUUUAUCCCCCUUGGAAUGUAACCAUUACUUUAAUUUAUUUAUCAUUUUAGAAUGAAGUUGGGAGCAAGAGGGAGUGGACUCUCAUUCACUGACUUACUCAUUCUGUUAUCACAUGCGUACUGAAAAUUCAGAGUAAAACCUCGUACUGUGCAACCCAGAAUUUACCAAGAUGAGAAUAAUGAGAUAUAUAAACCAAUAACUCUACACAAAGUGCUGCAAGAGAAGAUUAACAUGAGACAGAAGGAGUUCAGAGGCGAGGAGAAGUCAAGGCUGGCCACACAGCAGAAGAGGAACUUUGGCUGGGCUUGGAUGAUGGGGCAUUUGGACAAGUGAAGCAGUGGAGAAUUUCUUUGAGGGACCUGGGCCUCCACCAGCCCUUUGUAUGAAUUAGAAAGGGACUUUUUCUCUGUUGCCCAACACUGCAGGUGCACUACUUGGGAAGUGAACGGCACCUUUGAAAUGAGGUGCUACUGAAACAAAAGCCUAAAACUGGGGAAAUCAUCUUAGGGAUGGAAGUGUGGGCUAAGAGACCUCAAUGAGACUGAUAGUAAAGUCUCAAAGUUCAGUGAGGGAACACCUGGAAAGAUGGAAAAGAGUGACUGCUGUCAUGUAGCAGCAGAAACGUUAGUUAAAAUAUCCUUUGGGGAAACCAGGACACCAAAAAAUAUACCACAUGAGCUUGUGGGUUUGACUGAAGAGACUUUGAGGCAGACUGUCAUAAUUGGCAACUGCUUUCUUUUAGCUGUGUGUAAUAUAGAUAAAAUAAUGAAGGAAUGUCCCAUUUUUGAGCAAAAUUUAAAGAAAAUAUAAAGGUGUCAGGACUUGGCUGGGUUUCUCUAAGUGGUUUCUCAUAUGCAUCUUUCAGACAAAGAAAUAUUCUCACAGUAAGAAAAUGCUGCGUGGCAAAGAUGGAACUCAGUGUGUUUGAAGUCAACUAUGGCUGUGGGGUAAAGUUCAGAUUAAAAGUGUGGAUUUCAUACCUUUUAUUGAGACUUGAGAAAGAUUUAAGGCAUGCCUCAUUUACUCUUUCAGUGAGACUGAGAGACUUGUGAUGAUAUCUUUGUCUAAUGGAGUGAGACCCCCUUAAGAUUUGUAGGAAAUCCACCAAGUUUUUAAGAGAAUUGUAUUGGUGGAAGCACUGUCAGCUCUGAAUAAAGGGACAAUUCAAAAUUAGAAGAAGUCUCUGGGACAUCCAUCUUCUAUGUCCAGGAAGAUGACUAAGAGAGGUAAUCAGAUGAAAAUAUGGACCGUUUUUCGGGGGAAAGGAAGGGUGACUCAGAGGGUGGAGUCAAGAGCAUGGAGGGAGAGGCAAGAGCAUAGAACAAACACUCAGCUCUAAUUAAGGUACACUUCCUACCUCUAGAGCAGGGGAAUUGGUGCCCUGCAGCUGGAUUUUAGCUGUGUGGGCAUUGACUGCUAAUGUGCCGCCAGCUUUCUGACUUUUCAGUCAGAAAGACCGAUCCUGGUUUCUUUCCUCCCCAUUGUAUUAAAAUGUUGGGUGUGUGGAAGAGGGAAUUUGACCCCUUUAGUUUGCAGGUCUUCACGCUGGGAGGGAUUGCGCUUGAGUAAAUGCAUCUUAGGAAUACACUGGGGGUACUUUACAGACCUGACAUAGAUGAUGAGACCCUGGACUUUGUGCUGAUGCCAUAAUGGGCUGGGAUGUUGGAGGCCUUGGUGAAGGAGGUGAGUGUAUUUUGCAUAUGCAAAGGACAGGAAUGCCUGUAGCCAAAGAGUAGACCAUGCCAUUAUGUUCUUUUUCUUUUUGUUUGUUUUGAGACGGAGUUUCGCUGUUGUUGCCCAGGCUGGAGUGCAAUGGCAUGAUCUUGGCUCACUGCAAUCUCUGCCUCCUGGGUUCAAGCGAUUCUCCUGCCUCAGCCUCUGUAGUAGCUGGGAUUACAGGCAUGCACCACCAUGUCCAGCUAAUUUUGUAUUUUUAGUAGAGACAGGGUUUCUCCAUGUUGCUCAGGCUGGUCUCAAAUUCCUGACCUCAGGUGAUCCACCCACCUGGGCCUCCCGAAGUGCUGGGAUUACAGGUGUGAGCCACCGUGCCUGGCCGACAUUAUGUUAUUUUUCUAAGGUGGCCACAGCAAUGGUUUUCCAUCCCACAUGUUCUUCAACGUGAACUUGCUACAUCCUGAAGAGAUGGGUCUAUUUCUUGACCCUCUUACACAGUCAAAUGAGGCAAAGUAGAAAAUUCAUUCAUUCUUAGCCUAAGAUAAGCAUGCAGAGGAAGAGACAUUAAUGAAUUCAUGCAGCAUGAAAUUUUCCCAGUGGGGGAAUAAAAAAGAUACAUUAUUAGAACAAAUAGAAUUAUAAAAUGACAUAAGUGGCUAUAUCUUUUUAGGACACUCUUCAAUAAAAUCAAGCUGUUUAGCAUUAUUGCAUUUUAACUACAUUCCAUUUUUCUGACAUUAACCAAAAAAGCUUAACAAUUAAUUUGGUAUAUUUUGAAGUCUGUCCCUAAAAUAUUUGCAGUCCCCUCAGGCUAGAUCAUGGGCUUCCUGGCACUCCACUCCAGCAACAGUGUACUAUGGUCCUCAUCACCUGGUGUACUUACCGUCAUGACCACCCAGAGGUAAAAGGGAGCUGCAGCCCAUGGCUGGCCAGGACCCUGGGUUUUCAGAAAUCCCUGCUAUGUUAAUAUGCUGUCCACUUGUUUGCUCAACUGCCUCACUUCAGGCUCAACAUCUCUAGAAAAACAGAUAUUAGGGAAGUCCCUGGCCCAGUUGCAGGGCCGGCGCACUUCAGCAGCCCCAAGUGUAAGCUGCACAGGCAAGCUGAAAGCCAGGUCCUCACUGUGGUGCCCCUCGUCUCCCCCAAGCCUGGCACCCCAGGGCCCAUUUCUGUAUCAGUGUGUCCCAGCCCUGGCUUUCAUCUCACAAGGAUAACAGCAAAUAGCUUAAAGGAAAUAAAGAAAACGUGGGUUGAAAGGGCACAGUACAUCCUAGGCAAAAGGUGCAUCAUGAGCAAGAAUGACAUACAGACCGAGGGUGUGCUGGAGAUGGCUCACACCAGCCCUUAGAGCUGGCUGUUAAAUUAUCAAGAAUAGUGUGAGCCAGUUGUUAAUCCCAGCCAUUAUCGUACAUCAAAUUAACAAAUUUACAACCAAAUCAAUUAUAUCAAAAACAAAGUUAAUAGAUACUCCACACUCAUUUCUUCCUAAUUAUUUUUAACCUGUUUUGCUACUGUUUAUGCCCUGGAGGCUGCUUAUGACAACUGUACCUGUAUGAUGGAGUUGCUACACAAAGGUGGCUACUGUGUAUCUCUUUCCAACUCUGCAUUCAGUGACAUUUGGUAGCUGGAAAUCCACCACAGUGGGAGUUUUACCAGAAACUGGCAAAUGCUACAAUCAGGGCUUUCCCCGAAGAAAGCUGGUUGGUAAACAUUUGCCUGCACACUACAGAUAAAGAACUAUGAGCUCUUCAUAGCGGGUUGCAUACCAAGGAGAGUACAAGAGGCCACCUCAGAACUCCCACUGAGUGCUCUUGUGGAGAAGGAGACAGAGCAGGGUCUACACAGUUAGGGUGGAAAUGGGCUCUGGGAGUUUUAUACCCAUCCAAGUUCUCGCUCACAUGUGGAGGACAGCAGGUAACGUGCUGACACUGAAGGACAACAGCCCAAGUACAUCCAGGUUUGUAGCGGUAUGGCCAAAAAGGACACUCCUUUCAUGAAGGCAUCCCAUGAUGCCUUUGUGGAAGGGACCCCCAACCCACGGGCCACAGACCAGUACCAGUCUGUGGCCUGUUAGGAACCGGCCUGCACAGCAGCAAGUGAGUGGUGGGCCAGCGAGCAUGACCACCUGACCUAACCUCCUGUCCGAUCUGCGGUGGCAUUACAUUCUCAGGGGCACAAACCCUAUGUGAAUUGCACAUUCAAGGGUUCUAGGUUGUGCACUCCUUAUGAGAAUCUAAUGCCUGAUGAUCUGAGAUGGAACAGUUUUGUCCUGAAAUCCUGAAACCAUAGCCCCCUGCCACCCCUCAUCUGUGGAAAAAUUGUCUUCCAUGAGACUGGUUCCUAGUGCCAAAAAGUUUGGGGACCACUGCUUUAUAGUACCUAAAAUUAUAUGUUUUUGUUGACAGAGUUUUCUAGAGGGAUCUGCAAGAAGCUGUUACGAUUUAUUGCAUGGGGAGGGAAGCUCAGGGUGGUUAGAAUUCUUUACUUCUCCUGUGUUGAUUGCACUUUCUACAUUGUAUGUAUGUACCUUUAAUAUUUUAUAAAUGUGUGUUUUUUAGAAGAGAUAUGCUGACAUAGGACACAGAAAGAUUUAAAAUAAAAUGAAAGAAAAGAUAUAUUAAACCAAUAUUACCCAUUAGAAAGCUGCUGAAUUGCUAUGACUGUCCCAUGAAAUAGACUUAAAGGCAAAAAGCAUCAUGAACGUUAAAGAAAAUAAGAAGAAUGACUCACCAGCAGGACAAAAACUGUGAUGGACAAAAACUGUGGACAUGAGGAAUGACUGUGAUGGAGAAGAACAAGAACUGUGAUGAACCCAUAUGCACCUAAGAACAUGGCCUCCAAACACAGAAAGCAAACACUAACGGAACUGUGAGUCCACAAUCUCAAGAAGUUUUGUAUGUCUCUUUCAAUGACAAGACAAUAACAACAAAAAAUUAGGAUACAAAAGAA